Cinara cedri is the source of this 784-nucleotide non-coding RNA. The record is from the annotation of a GenBank genome assembly. Lineage: Eukaryota; Metazoa; Arthropoda; Insecta; Hemiptera; Aphididae.
UUUUUUAUAGUACAAACUAAAUAUUUUAUUCACAUAUCUCAUAAUUAGGUAAUAAGCAGAAUAAAAUACAUAUUACUUGUAGACAAUGCAUGUAUGCAUAAAAAUAAACAAUAAUGAUACAUUUUUACAUACAAAAUUGGAAAUGAAAUGUGUAGUUGCUUACUAUAGAUGCCGUGUAAUGGAGAUUGUUGAGGCAUUGCCCCCAUAGGUCAUCUAUGAUGUAUCUAUAAUUAUAGCGACCUGAAAGUUGGUAAUCUAGUCAUGCCUAUGGUUUCACACGUAGCUAUAGAUCAAGUUCAUACAGCAUUAAUAAUAAUAAUAAUAUAACGCUGAUUGGUAUCUACAAGAAUGACUACUAAUGGUAUGAAAGUACUAUGAUUAUAAUAUAGUUCUAUGGUUAGGUUUUAUUACAAUAUUUAAGUUAUGAAGUUAUUUAGAAUUAUACAUAUUAUAUUAAAAUUAAACAGACCUUAUUUGCUUAAUUUUAAACAAAAAAAAAUUAAAUUAGUUUAUUAUUAAAUCGAAUAACCAAAACUACCGAAUAAAUGAUUUCGGUAAACCAAAAAUACUAUAAGCCCUAGAUGCAAGUGAUCAAAACUGUAGUACAGUAAAUGCAGUUAAUAAUAAUAUUCUGAUGAGAGGCCAAAUUUACGAGAAGAGUAACUGUUACUGUUAUGGUCUUUACAAGACAGUAGUCACUAAAAUAUAUUUUAUCACAAAUUAUUGGCACAGCUCUAAGUUUAAUUAAUUAUAAUACACAAUGAAAAACUAGAGAACAUAAUUC